UACGUAGGUGGCAAGCGUUGUCCGGAAUUACUGGGCGUAAAGGGCGCGUAGGCGGUUAUCCAAGUCAGGGGUGAAAACCUUGGGCUCAACUCAGGGCCUGCCUCUGAAACUGGGUAACUUGAGGGCAGGAGAGGGGAGUGGAAUUCCCAGUGUAGCGGUGAAAUGCGUAGAUAUUGGGAGGAACACCAGUGGCGAAGGCGGCUCUCUGGCCUAACCCUGACGCUGAGGAGCGAAAGCGUGGGGAUCAAACAGGAUUAGAUACCCCGGUAGUCCCUGAGCGGGCU
This 284-nucleotide ribosomal RNA is filed under the name uncultured prokaryote. RNAcentral's name for it is "partial 16S ribosomal RNA". It matches the Rfam family "Bacterial small subunit ribosomal RNA", at positions 524 to 817 of the family's 1533-position model. The record is from RNAcentral.